This 629-nucleotide ribosomal RNA is filed under the name uncultured bacterium. RNAcentral describes it as "bacterial SSU rRNA". It matches the Rfam family "Bacterial small subunit ribosomal RNA", at positions 232 to 872 of the family's 1533-position model. The record is from RNAcentral.
CGCGGCCUAUCAGCUUGUUGGUGGGGUAAUGGCCUACCAAGGCGACGACGGGUAGCCGGCCUGAGAGGGCGACCGGCCACACUGGGACUGAGACACGGCCCAGACUCCUACGGGAGGCAGCAGUGGGGAAUAUUGCGCAAUGGGCGAAAGCCUGACGCAGCGACGCCGCGUGAGGGAUGAAGGCCUUCGGGUUGUAAACCUCUUUCAGCAGGGACGAAGCGUAAGUGACGGUACCUGCAGAAGAAGCGCCGGCUAACUACGUGCCAGCAGCCGCGGUAAUACGUAGGGCGCAAGCGUUGUCCGGAAUUAUUGGGCGUAAAGAGCUCGUAGGCGGUUUGUCGCGUCUGUCGUGAAAGCCCACAGCUUAACUGUGGGUCUGCGGUGGAUACGGGCAGACUAGAGGCAGGUAGGGGAGAACGGAAUUCCCGGUGUAGCGGUGAAAUGCGCAGAUAUCGGGAGGAACACCGGUGGCGAAGGCGGUUCUCUGGGCCUGUACUGACGCUGAGGAGCGAAAGCGUGGGGAGCGAACAGGAUUAGAUACCCUGGUAGUCCACGCCGUAAACGUUGGGCGCUAGGUGUGGGGUCCUUCCACGGAUUCCGCGCCGCAGCUAACGCAUUAAGCGCCCCGC